Molecule: non-coding RNA, 95 nt
Organism: Exidia glandulosa HHB12029
Lineage: Eukaryota; Fungi; Basidiomycota; Agaricomycetes; Auriculariales; Exidiaceae
Source: the annotation of a GenBank genome assembly
GGCUGUAUAGUGUAGUGGUUAUCACAGUGGAUUCUGAUCACGUGUCGUCACGUGGGUCCGUUCCAUUAACCCCUGUUCGAAUCAGGGUACGGUCA